GCAAAUAAUACAUGAAGAUUCAUUUUUUCUAUUUUUCAGAAUAAUCAUUUUUAUCUUUUUUUCGUCAUGAUGAAGGCGCUUCUAUUGGACAUGUUAAAAUGGUUACAUUAAAAUUUUGAUUUCAGGAAAAAAAACAUUUUAAACGUGGCAAAUUCUAUUCAUAGUACAGAUAUAUAAAUAUCUUUGUAAUAUAAGAAGAAUUAUACCCAAAGACCUGGGAAAACGUAUAUUUAGGUUUACUACAUGGAUGGAUCUGGAAGAUACUGAAGGUGGCUGGAUGGAACGGAUGGUUUUAAGUGUGACACACCGCGUCCCGGUGCACACAGAAAACAUGUCGCUUAUGUAAUGACAAAAGAACGAAACGCGUAAGGAGAUAUUGUUAGGACGCUUAGCGGCGUGUCGCGUGCGGGGAAGGGGAGGGGGGGAUGAGGGCGCGCGCCCCGUCUUCCCGGUGACGCAGCCUGUCCGUCUCCUCCGCCGUCUCGCGGCGCCACCCACCCCGCUCGCGCUCGAACUGCUGGAUUGCCGUCGCGCGGGACAGCCACGCCGAGAGCCGGAGCGCUAGUUCCACGGACAUGUGGGUUUCAUUUCGCACAGAAGAUAGUGACCUGAGGUCCACUAGGGGCUGUUUGCCAUGGGAUGACAGCAUUCCACACACUGAUCGCACACUUGGAGACCACAUCAGCAGGGCUUGGACUGUGUAUCACCAUCCAGAGUGCUAAGGACUGCUUUCUUCCUCCCAGUGCUUUCCACAAGGUACAAAUGUUCUAGAAGCAGUGGGUUGCAUUGUGGUAAUGCUUUUUUUUUGCAACAUGAAAGGGACCGUGAUCUAUUUUGAUCAAGCAAAAUAUCCAGCUGUACAAAUCACAUUCUGCUUUGGAUAACCAUGUUGUCAAUAUACUGUAAUGAUAGUCCAGUCAUGCACCGCUUAACGACUGACUGCGUGUAUGAUGGUGGUCCCAUCAGGUUAUAAUGGACCUGAUUCCGAUCGACUAGUGACGUCAUAGCGCAGCGUGUUCCUCACGGGUUUGUAGUGGUGCUGAUGUAAACAAAUCUACUGUGCUGCCAGA
Molecule: long non-coding RNA, 1070 nt
Filed under: Scleropages formosus (Asian bonytongue)
Lineage: Eukaryota; Metazoa; Chordata; Actinopteri; Osteoglossiformes; Osteoglossidae
Description: lncRNA (ENSSFOG00015029376.1)
Source: RNAcentral